GUGGGGAAUAUUGCACAAUGGGCGCAAGCCUGAUGCAGCAACGCCGCGUGAGUGAAGAAGGCUUUCGGGUCGUAAAGCUCUGUCCUAGGGGAAGAAUAAAUGACGGUACCCUGGGAGGAAGCCCCGGCUAACUACGUGCCAGCAGCCGCGGUAAUACGUAGGGGGCAAGCGUUAUCCGGAAUCACUGGGCGUAAAGGGUGCGUAGGUGGUUCGACAAGUCAGAAGUGAAAGGCUACGGCUUAACCGUGGUAAGCUUUUGAAACUGUUGAACUUGAGUGCAGGAGAGGUAAGUGGAAUUCCUAGUGUAGCGGUGAAAUGCGUAGAUAUUAGGAGGAACACCAGUGGCGAAGGCGACUUACUGGACUGUAACUGACACUGAGGCACGAAAGCGUGGGGAGCAAACAGGAUUAGAAACCCGUGUAGUCC
RNAcentral lists this ribosomal RNA (426 nucleotides) under uncultured bacterium. RNAcentral describes it as "bacterial SSU rRNA". It matches the Rfam family "Bacterial small subunit ribosomal RNA", at positions 354 to 796 of the family's 1533-position model. The record is from RNAcentral.